UAUUUGAAAUCAUUUAUCUUUGAAUUGUUUGAAUUUUAUUUAUUUAUUGUAAAGUCAUUUAAAAUUUUAUUAUAUUCUCAGUUAUAAAUAGUCUAGUCGCGCCCCUAGUUAGAUAUAAAACUUUGAAUUAUAGAUUAUGUCUAUAAUUAUAGAAAUUUAUAUUCUAAAUUUUAAUUUAAAUUGGACCUGAUAGGUUUAAUAUGUUAUGCUUUAUAUUGAUUUGGGCUGAAUAACGUGUUUACAUAAAUCUACAUGUAUUGGGCUUCUAUAUAUAUAUAUACAUAUUUUUCCGGACGAAGAUGGGUAUAUUUAACCCAGUUCAGAUAUUUGCUGAGUAAAUACUUGUUUGAUUUUAAUUUUAAGAUUAGUUCUGACGUGUUGCUCAGCUCCAACAUCCACCAAAUUUUACUUCACCAUUUUUUAGCCACGUAUCAUUCCAGAUUUUUAUCUCAUUCAAAUACCUCCAUCCUCAUCAGCCUUUACCAUUUUUCAUGUCUGAAAUUCCUGUGAAACCUCAAACUUGCUAGUAAAUCUCUUCGAUCAUCUCCUGCUACAGAACUUCAGUUUGGUGCGGCGCGACUAGGACGUGAAUUUUAAAUUCCUGCAGUUAAUUUUCAAAGCUCAAGUUUCAGGCAACUGAUGUUGGAGACGCGUGGAGGGUCGAAUGGGCGCGUCGAAUCUUUUUGAGUCAAAAUAAAUUAUCUUCUUUUGAACUUUGUACAGUAUCAGAUACUUUUGUUUUAGUAACAGCGUUGUUUCUUUUUCAAACUGUUUUUUUUUGGUCAUGUUUGACUUUGUACGUUAUAAUAUCGUUGUGUUAUGUAUAUAUUAGAGUUUGAUAUUUUGAAGUUAUCAAAAAUUAUUGAUUAUACGA
Molecule: long non-coding RNA, 874 nt
Organism: Salvia miltiorrhiza (redroot sage)
Lineage: Eukaryota; Viridiplantae; Streptophyta; Magnoliopsida; Lamiales; Lamiaceae
Exons: 3
Source: RefSeq, a predicted model, not a curated record